ACCCUGCUGACGCGUCCCAAACAGGACGAAAUAGCUGUCCAGUGU
RNAcentral lists this non-coding RNA (45 nucleotides) under Echinostoma caproni. Lineage: Eukaryota; Metazoa; Platyhelminthes; Trematoda; Plagiorchiida; Echinostomatidae. The record is from RNAcentral.